Non-coding RNA from Podarcis lilfordi (Lilford's wall lizard), 93 nucleotides. The record is from the annotation of a GenBank genome assembly. Lineage: Eukaryota; Metazoa; Chordata; Lepidosauria; Squamata; Lacertidae.
GGGGUACCAUGGUUCAAGGAAAGGGUCAGGAGAGAGUGGUGGAGCACUUACUUUGAAUGUAGAAGGUCCCAGGUUCAAUUCCUGGCAUCCCCA